UACGGGGGGAGCAAGCGUUGUUCGGAUUUACUGGGCGUAAAGGGCGCGUAGGCGGUAGCACAAGUCAGUUGUGAAAUCUCCGGGCUUAACUCGGAAAGGUCAACUGAUACUGUGCGACUAGAGUGCAGAAGGGGCAAGUGGAAUUCUCGGUGUAGCGGUGAAAUGCGUAGAUAUCGAGAGGAACACCCGUGGCGAAGGCGGCUUCCUGGGGCCAUCCUGACACUGAGAAGCGAAAGCUAGGGGAGCGAACGGG
This 253-nucleotide ribosomal RNA is filed under the name uncultured bacterium. RNAcentral's name for it is "partial 16S ribosomal RNA". It matches the Rfam family "Bacterial small subunit ribosomal RNA", at positions 524 to 776 of the family's 1533-position model. The record is from RNAcentral.